GAUGAAGAACGUAGUGAAAUGCGAUAAGUAAUGUGAAUUGCAGAAUUCAGUGAAUCAUCGAAUCUUUGAACGCACAUUGCGCCCGCCAGUAUCCUGGCGGGCAUGCCUGUUCGAGCGUCAUUACAACCCUCAGGCCCCCGGGCCUGGCGUUGGGGAUCGGCGGAAGCCCCCUGUGGGCACACGCCGUCCCUCAAAUACAGUGGCGGUCCCGCCGCAGCUUCCAUUGCGUAGUAGCUAACACCUCGCAACUGGAGAGCGGCGCGGCCAUGCCGUAAAACACCCAACUUCUGAAUGUUGACCUCGAAUCAGGUAGGAAUACCCGCUGAACUUAAGCAUAUCAAUAAGCGGAGGA
RNAcentral lists this unclassified non-coding RNA (352 nucleotides) under soil metagenome. RNAcentral describes it as "partial contains 5.8S ribosomal RNA, internal transcribed spacer 2, and large subunit ribosomal RNA". The stretch from base 1 to 120 matches the Rfam family "5.8S ribosomal RNA", at positions 35 to 154 of the family's 154-position model. The record is from RNAcentral.